Molecule: long non-coding RNA, 917 nt
Filed under: Olea europaea (common olive)
Lineage: Eukaryota; Viridiplantae; Streptophyta; Magnoliopsida; Lamiales; Oleaceae
Description: long non-coding RNA (OEUR_LNC010443)
Source: RNAcentral
CCACACCCAACGCGAACCUGAAAAAAAUAAGAGAGAGAAGGACAAAAGUCCUGGACGUGCUUAAAGAUAAUCCACACCCGAUGGAGCUCAAGACCAUCAGCAUGAGUGCCAGACCAUAGACGCGCCGCCGCCCUAUUCGGUCCCCGAGGUAACCAAACACCAGUUGCCCAAUAACGGUCCCGAGGAGGGCCAUGCCAACCAUGACAGAAGUCACCACCGCCGAGACUUCAUAAAGCUGAUCGCCUUCAUAUUUGUUGCUAUCACCGUAAUAGAUGCGGCCGAGGAGUCUCAUGAUCGGAGGAAUACAAAACAGGUCGUAAGCAUCAGUGAACAACCCCAUUCCCGCCACGAUUAUGGCCUUGAAAUGAUAGUAUUGUGUUCUUGCCGAGUCGAGAUCAGAGAGAACUUUGAGCGCCAUUGUACAAUUCCCACAAUUUUUCCUUCCUAAGUCGAAAGAUUUAUACCUAUUCGGUCCCCGAGGUAACCAAAAACCAGCUGCCCAAUAACGGUCCCGAGGAGGGCCGUGCCAACCAUGACAGAAGUCACCACCGCCGAGACUUCAUAAAGCUGAUCGCCUUCAUAUUUGUUGCUAUCACCGUAAUAGAUGCGGCCGAGGAGUCUCAUGAUCGGAGGAAUACAAAACAGGUCGUAAGCAUCAGUGAACACCCCCAUUCCCGCCACGAUUAUGGCCUUGAAAUGAUAGUAUUGUGUUCUUGCCGAGUCGAGAUCAGAGAGAACUUUGAGCGCCAUUGUACAAUUCCCACAAUUUUUCCUUCCUAAGUCGAAAGAUUUAUAAACUAGAGUCAAAUUUCUUGUACUCAUCCAUGCUUUAAAAUAAUUGGUAAUCCAAGACUGAAAGAGACAAUGGAAGUUGGAGGGGAAUUUCUUACAAACAGACAACUACAAGAGAAGACUUC